This 878-nucleotide long non-coding RNA is filed under the name Homo sapiens (human). RNAcentral's name for it is "HSALNT0026782". The record is from RNAcentral. Lineage: Eukaryota; Metazoa; Chordata; Mammalia; Primates; Hominidae.
UCUGAAGCCACAGCCCAAGCUGUACAUUGGCCCCUUUCAGCCAUGGCUGGAGUGGCUGCGACACAGGGCACCAAGUCUCUAGGCUGCACACAGCACAAGAAGCCUGGCCCAUGAAACCACUUUUUCCUCCUGGGCCUCCAGGCCUGUGAUGGGAGAGGCUGCCAUGAUGGUCUCUGAUAUGGCCUGGAGAUAUUUACCUCAUGGUCUUGGAGGUUAACAUUAGGCUCCUUGCUACUUAUGCAGAUUUCUUCAGCCAGCUCGAACUUCUCCCCAGAAAUCUAGUUUCUUUUUUAUAUUUCAUAGUCAUACUGCAAAUUUCCAAACUUUUAUGCUGUGCUUCCCUUAUAAAACCAAAUGCCUUUAACAGCACCCAAGUCACCUCUUGCUGCUUAGAAAUUUCUUCUGCCAGAUAUCCCAAAUCAUCUUUCUCAAGUUCAAAGUUCCACAGAUCUCCAGGACAGGAGCAAAAUGUCACCAGUCUCUUUGCUAAAGCAUAACAAGAGUCAUCGUUACUCCAGUUCCCAACAAGUUUCUCAUCUCCAUCUGAGACCACCUCAGCCUGGAUCUUAUUGUCCAUAUCAUCAUCUGCAUUUUGGGCAAAGCCAUUCAACAAGUCUGUAGGAAGUUGCAAACUUUCCCACAUUUUUCUGUCUUCUUCUAAGUCCUCCAAACUGUUCCAGCCUCUGCCAGUUACCUAGUUCCAAAGUCAUUUCCACAUUUUUGGAUAUCUUCUCAGCAACGCCCCAAUGUACUGGUACCAAUUUACGGUAUUAGUCCAUUUUUACUCUGCUGGUAAAGACUUACCAUUCCACAUGGUUGGGAAGGCCUCAGAAUCAUGGCAGGAGGAAAAGUCACUUCUUACAUGGUGGGGGCAAAAG